GAUGAACGCUGGCGGCGUGCCUAGUACAUGCAAGUCGAGCGAACGGACGAGAAGCUUGCUUCUCUGAUGUUAGCGGCGGACGGGUGAGUAACACGUGGAUAACCUACCUAUAAGACUGGGAUAACUUCGGGAAACCGGAGCUAAUACCGGAUAAUAUUUUGAACCGCAUGGUUCAAAAGUGAAAGACGGUCUUGCUGUCACUUAUAGAUGGAUCCGCGCUGCAUCAGCUAGUUGGUAAGGUAACGGCUUACCAAGGCAACGAUGCAUAGCCGACCUGAGAGGGUGAUCGGCCACACUGGAACUGAGACACGGUCCAGACUCCUACGGGAGGCAGCAGUAGGGAAUCUUCCGCAAUGGGCGAAAGCCUGACGGAGCAACGCCGCGUGAGUGAUGAAGGUCUUCGGAUCGUAAAACUCUGUUAUUAGGGAAGAACAUAUGUGUAAGUAACUGUGCACAUCUUGACGGUACCUAAUCAGAAAGCCACGGCUAACUACGUG
This 497-nucleotide ribosomal RNA is filed under the name uncultured bacterium. RNAcentral's name for it is "partial 16S ribosomal RNA". It matches the Rfam family "Bacterial small subunit ribosomal RNA", at positions 28 to 507 of the family's 1533-position model. The record is from RNAcentral.